RNAcentral lists this ribosomal RNA (252 nucleotides) under uncultured bacterium. Its description in RNAcentral is "partial 16S ribosomal RNA". It matches the Rfam family "Bacterial small subunit ribosomal RNA", at positions 524 to 776 of the family's 1533-position model. The record is from RNAcentral.
UACGUAGGGUGCGAGCGUUAAUCGGAAUUACUGGGCGUAAAGCGUGCGCAGGCGGUUUUUCAAGACCGAUGUGAAAUCCCCGGGCUUAACCUGGGAAUGGCAUUGGUGACUGGAAGGCUAGAGUGUGUCAGAGGGGGUAGAAUUCCACGUGUAGCAGUUAAAUGCGUAGAGAUGUGGAGGAAUACCGAUGGCGAAGGCAGCCCCCUGGGCCAAUACUGACGCUCAUGCACGAAAGCGUGGGGAGCAAACAGG